UACGUAGGGUGCAAGCGUUGUCCGGAAUUAUUGGGCGUAAAGAGCUCGUAGGCGGUUUGUUGCGUCGGCUGUGAAAUCCCGAGGCUCAACCUCGGGUCUGCAGUCGAUACGAGCAAACUAGAGUGUUGCAGGGGAGACUGGAAUUCCUGGUGUAGCGGUGAAAUGCGCAGAUAUCAGGAGGAACACCGGUGGCGAAGGCGGGUCUCUGGGCAACAACUGACGCUGAGGAGCGAAAGCGUGGGGAGCGAGCAGG
RNAcentral lists this ribosomal RNA (253 nucleotides) under uncultured bacterium. RNAcentral describes it as "partial 16S ribosomal RNA". It matches the Rfam family "Bacterial small subunit ribosomal RNA", at positions 524 to 776 of the family's 1533-position model. The record is from RNAcentral.